RNAcentral lists this ribosomal RNA (497 nucleotides) under uncultured bacterium. RNAcentral describes it as "partial 16S ribosomal RNA". It matches the Rfam family "Bacterial small subunit ribosomal RNA", at positions 28 to 507 of the family's 1533-position model. The record is from RNAcentral.
GAUGAACGCUGGCGGCGUGCCUAAUACAUGCAAGUCGAGCGGACGGACGAGAAUCUUGCUUCUCUGAUGUUAGCGGCGGGCGGGUGAGUAACACGUGGAUAACCUAUCUAUAAGACUCAGAUAACUUCGGAAAACCGGAGCUUAUACCUGAUAAUAUUUUGAACCGCAUGGUUCAAAAGUGAAAGACGGUCUUGCUGUCACUGAUAGGUGGAUCGGCGCUGCAUUAGCUAGUUGUUAAGGUAACGGUUAACCAAGGCCACGACGGCUAGCCGACGGGGGAGGGUGAUCGGCGACACUCGAACUGAGACAGGGUUCAGGCUCCGACGGGUGGGAGCAGUAGGGGAUCGGCCGCAAUGGGCGAAAGCCUGACGGAGCAGCGCCGCGUGAGUGAGGAAGAUCUUCGGAUCGUAGAACUCUGCUAUUAGGGAAGAACAUAUGUGUAAGUAACUGUGCACAUCGUGACGGUACCUAAACAGAAAGCCACGGCUAACUACGUG